Molecule: ribosomal RNA, 2543 nt
Filed under: Escherichia coli
Lineage: Bacteria; Pseudomonadati; Pseudomonadota; Gammaproteobacteria; Enterobacterales; Enterobacteriaceae
Description: partial 23S ribosomal RNA
Rfam family: Bacterial large subunit ribosomal RNA
Source: RNAcentral
GGGACACGUGGUAUCCUGUCUGAAUAUGGGGGGACCAUCCUCCAAGGCUAAAUACUCCUGACUGACCGAUAGUGAACCAGUACCGUGAGGGAAAGGCGAAAAGAACCCCGGCGAGGGGAGUGAAAAAGAACCUGAAACCGUGUACGUACAAGCAGUGGGAGCACGCUUAGGCGUGUGACUGCGUACCUUUUGUAUAAUGGGUCAGCGACUUAUAUUCUGUAGCAAGGUUAACCGAAUAGGGGAGCCGAAGGGAAACCGAGUCUUAACUGGGCGUUAAGUUGCAGGGUAUAGACCCGAAACCCGGUGAUCUAGCCAUGGGCAGGUUGAAGGUUGGGUAACACUAACUGGAGGACCGAACCGACUAAUGUUGAAAAAUUAGCGGAUGACUUGUGGCUGGGGGUGAAAGGCCAAUCAAACCGGGAGAUAGCUGGUUCUCCCCGAAAGCUAUUUAGGUAGCGCCUCGUGAAUUCAUCUCCGGGGGUAGAGCACUGUUUCGGCAAGGGGGUCAUCCCGACUUACCAACCCGAUGCAAACUGCGAAUACCGGAGAAUGUUAUCACGGGAGACACACGGCGGGUGCUAACGUCCGUCGUGAAGAGGGAAACAACCCAGACCGCCAGCUAAGGUCCCAAAGUCAUGGUUAAGUGGGAAACGAUGUGGGAAGGCCCAGACAGCCAGGAUGUUGGCUUAGAAGCAGCCAUCAUUUAAAGAAAGCGUAAUAGCUCACUGGUCGAGUCGGCCUGCGCGGAAGAUGUAACGGGGCUAAACCAUGCACCGAAGCUGCGGCAGCGACACUGUGUGUUGUUGGGUAGGGGAGCGUUCUGUAAGCCUGCGAAGGUGUGCUGUGAGGCAUGCUGGAGGUAUCAGAAGUGCGAAUGCUGACAUAAGUAACGAUAAAGCGGGUGAAAAGCCCGCUCGCCGGAAGACCAAGGGUUCCUGUCCAACGUUAAUCGGGGCAGGGUGAGUCGACCCCUAAGGCGAGGCCGAAAGGCGUAGUCGAUGGGAAACAGGUUAAUAUUCCUGUACUUGGUGUUACUGCGAAGGGGGGACGGAGAAGGCUAUGUUGGCCGGGCGACGGUUGUCCCGGUUUAAGCGUGUAGGCUGGUUUUCCAGGCAAAUCCGGAAAAUCAAGGCUGAGGCGUGAUGACGAGGCACUACGGUGCUGAAGCAACAAAUGCCCUGCUUCCAGGAAAAGCCUCUAAGCAUCAGGUAACAUCAAAUCGUACCCCAAACCGACACAGGUGGUCAGGUAGAGAAUACCAAGGCGCUUGAGAGAACUCGGGUGAAGGAACUAGGCAAAAUGGUGCCGUAACUUCGGGAGAAGGCACGCUGAUAUGUAGGUGAAGUCCCUCGCGGAUGGAGCUGAAAUCAGUCGAAGAUACCAGCUGGCUGCAACUGUUUAUUAAAAACACAGCACUGUGCAAACACGAAAGUGGACGUAUACGGUGUGACGCCUGCCCGGUGCCGGAAGGUUAAUUGAUGGGGUCAGCGCAAGCGAAGCUCUUGAUCGAAGCCCCGGUAAACGGCGGCCGUAACUAUAACGGUCCUAAGGUAGCGAAAUUCCUUGUCGGGUAAGUUCCGACCUGCACGAAUGGCGUAAUGAUGGCCAGGCUGUCUCCACCCGAGACUCAGUGAAAUUGAACUCGCUGUGAAGAUGCAGUGUACCCGCGGCAAGACGGAAAGACCCCGUGAACCUUUACUAUAGCUUGACACUGAACAUUGAGCCUUGAUGUGUAGGAUAGGUGGGAGGCUUUGAAGUGUGGACGCCAGUCUGCAUGGAGCCGACCUUGAAAUACCACCCUUUAAUGUUUGAUGUUCUAACGUGGACCCGUAAUCCGGGUUGCGGACAGUGUCUGGUGGGUAGUUUGACUGGGGCGGUCUCCUCCUAAAGAGUAACGGAGGAGCACGAAGGUUGGCUAAUCCUGGUCGGACAUCAGGAGGUUAGUGCAAUGGCAUAAGCCAGCUUGACUGCGAGCGUGACGGCGCGAGCAGGUGCGAAAGCAGGUCAUAGUGAUCCGGUGGUUCUGAAUGGAAGGGCCAUCGCUCAACGGAUAAAAGGUACUCCGGGGAUAACAGGCUGAUACCGCCCAAGAGUUCAUAUCGACGGCGGUGUUUGGCACCUCGAUGUCGGCUCAUCACAUCCUGGGGCUGAAGUAGGUCCCAAGGGUAUGGCUGUUCGCCAUUUAAAGUGGUACGCGAGCUGGGUUUAGAACGUCGUGAGACAGUUCGGUCCCUAUCUGCCGUGGGCGCUGGAGAACUGAGGGGGGCUGCUCCUAGUACGAGAGGACCGGAGUGGACGCAUCACUGGUGUUCGGGUUGUCAUGCCAAUGGCACUGCCCGGUAGCUAAAUGCGGAAGAGAUAAGUGCUGAAAGCAUCUAAGCACGAAACUUGCCCCGAGAUGAGUUCUCCCUGACUCCUUGAGAGUCCUGAAGGAACGUUGAAGACGACGACGUUGAUAGGCCGGGUGUGUAAGCGCAGCGAUGCGUUGAGCUAACCGGUACUAAUGAACCGUGAGGCUUAACCUUACAACGCCGAAGGUGUUU